This 449-nucleotide ribosomal RNA is filed under the name uncultured bacterium. Its description in RNAcentral is "partial 16S ribosomal RNA". It matches the Rfam family "Bacterial small subunit ribosomal RNA", at positions 29 to 523 of the family's 1533-position model. The record is from RNAcentral.
AACGAACGCUGGCGGCAGGCCUAACACAUGCAAAUCGGACGCUGCAGCAAUGCAGAGUGGCAGACGGGUGAGUAACGCGUGGGAACCUUCCCAAUGGUACGGAAUAGCCCAGGGAAACUUGGGGUAAUACCGUAUAAGCCCCAUGGGGGAAAGAUUUAUCGCCAUUGGAUGGGCCCGCGUUGGAUUAGCUAGUUGGUGAGGUAACGGCUCACCAAGGCGACGAUCCGUAGCUGGUUUGAGAGAGUGACCAGCCACACUGGGACUGAGACACGGCCCAGACUCCUACGGGAGGCAGCAGUGGGGAAUCUUGGACAAUGGGCGAAAGCCUGAUCCAGCCAUGCCGCGUGAGUGACGAAGGCCUUAGGGUUGUAAAGCUCUUUUGGCGGGGACGGUAAUGACGGUACCCGCAGAAUAAGUCCCGGCUAACUUCGUGCCAGCCGCCGCCGUAA